RNAcentral lists this ribosomal RNA (252 nucleotides) under uncultured bacterium. RNAcentral's name for it is "partial 16S ribosomal RNA". It matches the Rfam family "Bacterial small subunit ribosomal RNA", at positions 524 to 776 of the family's 1533-position model. The record is from RNAcentral.
UACGUAGGUCCCGAGCGUUGUCCGGAUUUAUUGGGCGUAAAGCGAGCGCAGGUGGUUUAUUAAGUCUGGUGUAAAAGGCAGUGGCUCAACCAUUGUAUGCAUUGGAAACUGGUAGACUUGAGUGCAGGAGAGGAGAGUGGAAUUCCAUGUAUAGCGGUGAAAUGCGUAGAUAUAUAGAGGAACACCGGUGGCGAAAGCGGCUCUCUGGCCUGUAACUGACACUGAGGCUCGAAAGCGUGGGGAGCAAACAGG